AUGGAGACGACGACCUCCUCCUCGUCGGGCUCUGGCUCCCUGUCCUCCGGAUCGCCGACGCUCUGCCCCGUCAACCCGGAGCAACAGGAGAUGCCGCUCGGGCGCCGCAGCCGCAGCGGCGCCCUCGUCUUCAACGAGGGCGGCCGCCCCUCUCCUUCUUCUUCCCGCCUCGUUAGGCCGAAGACCGAGCCAGGGUUGCUCCCUGUGAAGAAGGAGCAUGCGGACAUGGCCACCGCCGACGAGACCGCCAUCAAAUGGGCGAGGGUGGACUACGUCCGCAAGCAGAUGGAGCGCCAGCCACUACUAGAAAAAAGGCUGUUAGUGGCGCACCUGUUUUUGCUAUUAAUGGCGCACUAUAGGUGCGUCACUAUUAACACGCCACUAGUAACAAAUAGUAAUGGCACACCUCUGGUGCGCCAUUAG
This 423-nucleotide ribosomal RNA is filed under the name Triticum aestivum (bread wheat). RNAcentral's name for it is "partial small subunit ribosomal RNA". Lineage: Eukaryota; Viridiplantae; Streptophyta; Magnoliopsida; Poales; Poaceae. The record is from RNAcentral.